GGGGGAAGUGCUGAAUCCUGGGCUGUGUCCCCUGCGCCCUGGGCUCCGAGCCUGCACUGCUGGAAUCGUGCUCCCGGGCGGUGCAGCCCCUU
This 92-nucleotide microRNA precursor is filed under the name Canis lupus familiaris (dog). RNAcentral's name for it is "mir-8799 microRNA precursor family". It matches the Rfam family "mir-8799 microRNA precursor family". The record is from Rfam by way of RNAcentral. Lineage: Eukaryota; Metazoa; Chordata; Mammalia; Carnivora; Canidae. RNAcentral also lists the same sequence under 1 other name.